AGUGAAGCGGCAACAGCUCAAAUUUGAAAUCCGGCCCGCUUCCGAGCCCGAGUUGUAAUUUGCAGAGGGCGUGCCGGGGCGCGGGGCCGGUCCAAGUUCCUUGNAACAGGACAUCAUGGAGGGUGAGAAUCCCGUACAUGGCCGGCAUCCCGCCCCGGGUGACACCCCUUCGACGAGUCGAGUUGUUUGGGAAUGCAGCUCUAAGCGGGUGUUAAAUUUCAUCUAAAGCUAAAUACCGGCCGGAGACCGAUAGCGCACAAGUAGAGUGAUCGAAAGAUGAAAAGCACUUUGGAAAGAGAGUUAAACCGUACGUGAAAUUGUUGAAAGGGAAGCGCUGGCGACCAGACCUGUCCGCGGGCGAUCAGCCGGGACUGCGGUGCCGGUGCACUCGCCCGCGAUCAGGCCAGCAUCGGCUUGGGCGGCGGGAAAAAGGCCCCGGGAAUGUGGCUCCCUCCGGGGAGUGUUAGAGCCCGCGAUGUCAUGCCGCCCGCCUGGGCCGAGGACCGCGCCAAUUGGCUAGGAUGCUGGCGUAAUGGUCGUCAGCGACCCGUCUUGAAACACGGACCAAGGAGUCUAACGUCCAUGCGAGUGUUCGGGCGUUAAACCCGCGCGCGGAAUGAAAGUGAACGGAGGUGAGAGCCCCCGAUGGGGCGCACCAUCGACCGAUCCAGAUGUCUUCGGAUGGAUUUGAGUAGGAGCAUGGCUGUUGGGACCCGAAAGAUGGUGAACUAUGCCUGGAUAGGGUGAAGCCAGAGGAAACUCUGGUGGAGGCUCGCAGCGGUUCUGACGUGCAAAUCGAUCGUCAAAUCUGGGUAUAGGGGCGAAAG
Molecule: ribosomal RNA, 827 nt
Filed under: Erinacellus dendroides
Lineage: Eukaryota; Fungi; Ascomycota; Lecanoromycetes; Peltigerales
Description: eukaryotic LSU rRNA
Rfam family: Eukaryotic large subunit ribosomal RNA
Source: RNAcentral